AAUUUAAUUUAUUAAUAUUUUAUUUUUUAUAUUUAUUAUAUUUUUUAUAAAAAUAAUUUAAUAAUUUUUUGUUUUAGUAUUAAUUAAAAAUUAAUUUUUAGUUUUAUAGUUUAAUAGUAUUGUAAAAGAAUUAUUUAAAAUUUUUUAAAGAAUAAUUUUAGUACCUUUUGUAUCAGGGUUAAUUAAAAUUUUUAAUUUAUUUUAAAUUCUCAAAAUUUAUAGAGUUAAUUUUAUUAUUAAUUUAUUGUUAUAUAAAUAUUUAUAAAAUAAUAUUAGUUUUGAAAUUUAAUUCGUUAUAAUAUAUUUAGUUAUUUAAGAUUUAAAUUUAAUUUAAAAUUUUAAAAGUAAUGUUAAUUUUUUUUAUUAAUAUUUUAAAUUUAAAUUAUUUUAGGGAUAAGCUUGAAAUUUUUAUAUAAUUAUUAUUUAAAUUAAAAUAAUUUAUAGGAAUAGAAAUUUUUAUUUUAAGUUUGUAAAAAUUUAUUAUUUUUUUUUUUUUGAUUUAUUAUAUUUAUUUAUAUUUUUUAUUAAAUUUUAUUAAUUAAUAUUUUAUUAAUAGUAAUAAUGAUUAAAUUAGUAUAAUUAAAAUUUAUUAUUUAUGAAUUCGGCAAAAAUUAUUUUCAUCUGUUUAACAAAAACAUUGUAUUAAGUUUAAUUUAAUAUAGGAUCUGCUCAAUGAUUAAUUAAAUAGCUGCAGUAUUUUGACUGUGCAAAGGUAGCAUAGUAAUUAGUCUUUUAAUUGAGGACUAGAAUGAAAGAUUUGAUGAGAAAUAAACUUUAUUAUUAAUAUAGUUUGAAUUUUAUUUUUAAGUAAAAAGGCUUAAAUAUUUUAAAGGGACGAUAAGACCCUAUAAAACUUUAUAAUUUGAAAUUUUUAAUUUUUUUUGAAUUUAAUUAAUUAAAAUUUUUUAAUUAUUUUAUUGGGGUGAUAAAAAAAUUAAAUUAACUUUUUUUAAAAUUUAACAUUAUUUAGUGAUUAUUUGAAUUAAAAAUUUUAAUUAAAUGAAAAAGUUACUUUAGGGAUAACAGCGUAAUUAAUAUUUUAAGUUCAAAUUUUAAUAUUAGUUUGCGACCUCGAUGUUGAAUUAAGAUAAGGCUUAGGUGCAAAA
Molecule: ribosomal RNA, 1106 nt
Filed under: Kurisakia onigurumii
Lineage: Eukaryota; Metazoa; Arthropoda; Insecta; Hemiptera; Thelaxidae
Description: 16S large subunit ribosomal RNA
Source: RNAcentral